RNAcentral lists this ribosomal RNA (462 nucleotides) under uncultured Clostridiaceae bacterium. Its description in RNAcentral is "bacterial SSU rRNA". It matches the Rfam family "Bacterial small subunit ribosomal RNA", at positions 8 to 487 of the family's 1533-position model. Lineage: Bacteria; Bacillati; Bacillota; Clostridia; Eubacteriales; Clostridiaceae. The record is from RNAcentral.
AGAGUUUGAUCAUGGCUCAGGACGAACGCUGGCGGCGUGCUUAACACAUGCAAGUCGAGCGAUGAAGUUCCUUCGGGAACGGAUUAGCGGCGGACGGGUGAGUAACACGUGGGUAACCUGCCUCAUAGAGGGGAAUAGCCUUCCGAAAGGAAGAUUAAUACCGCAUAAGAUUGUAGUUUCGCAUGAAACAGCAAUUAAAGGAGUAAUCCGCUAUGAGAUGGACCCGCGUCGCAUUAGCUAGUUGGUGAGGUAACGGCUCACCAAGGCGACGAUGCGUAGCCGACCUGAGAGGGUGAUCGGCCACAUUGGGACUGAGACACGGCCCAGACUCCUACGGGAGGCAGCAGUGGGGAAUAUUGCACAAUGGGGGAAACCCUGAUGCAGCAACGCCGCGUGAGUGAUGACGGUCUUCGGAUUGUAAAACUCUGUCUUCAGGGACGAUAAUGACGGUACCUGGUAGAG